UGGCUACACUCUAAAUGAGAAGAAUCGAAGAAAAAUUGCCGGAUGGACCAUCUUGUUAACAUGUGUUGGGGCACUACUCCUUACUUACGCAGCUACAAAUUUGAGCCUUCCAAGCUAUGUGCGAUAUUCCGUUAGCGGAAUCGGUGUUAUGCUUCUUUUAUCUGCUUUGGUUGUGCUGUCCUGCAUAGACCAAGAUGAUGCAAGGCACAGCUUUGGACACA
Molecule: unclassified non-coding RNA, 221 nt
Filed under: Hevea brasiliensis (rubber tree)
Lineage: Eukaryota; Viridiplantae; Streptophyta; Magnoliopsida; Malpighiales; Euphorbiaceae
Source: RNAcentral